Molecule: ribosomal RNA, 431 nt
Filed under: uncultured bacterium
Lineage: Bacteria
Description: partial 16S ribosomal RNA
Rfam family: Bacterial small subunit ribosomal RNA
Source: RNAcentral
CGAACGCUGGCGGCAUGCCUCACACAUGCAAGUCGAACGAGACCUUCGGGUCUAGUGGCGCCCGGGUGCGUAACGCGUGGGAACCUGCCCUUAGGUUCGGAAUAACUCCCCGAAAGGGGUGCUAAUACCGGAUAAUGUCUUCGGACCAAAGAUUUAUCGCCUUUGGAUGGGCCCGCGUUGGAUUAGCUAGUUGGUAGGGUAAAAGCCUACCAAGGCGACGAUCCAUAGCUGGUCUGAGAGGAUGAUCAGCCACACUGGGACUGAGACACGGCCCAGACUCCUACGGGAGGCAGCAGUGGGGAAUAUUGGACAAUGGGCGAAAGCCUGAUCCGGCAAUGCCGCGUGAGUGAUGAAGGCCUUAGGGUUGUAAAGCUCUUUUACCCGGGAUGAUAAUGACAGUACCGGGAGAAUAAGCUCCGGCUAACUCCGUG